RNAcentral lists this ribosomal RNA (253 nucleotides) under uncultured bacterium. Its description in RNAcentral is "partial 16S ribosomal RNA". It matches the Rfam family "Bacterial small subunit ribosomal RNA", at positions 524 to 776 of the family's 1533-position model. The record is from RNAcentral.
UACGUAGGGGGCAAGCGUUGUCCGGAUUUAUUGGGCGUAAAGAGCGUGUAGGCGGCCAUGCAGGUCCGUUGUGAAAACUGGAGGCUUAACCUCCAGACGUCGAUGGAAACCGUAUGGCUAGAGUCCGGAAGAGGAGAGUGGAAUUCCUGGUGUAGCGGUGAAAUGCGCAGAUAUCAGGAAGAACACCCGUGGCGAAGGCGGCCUUCUGGACAGCGACUGACGCUGAGACGCGAAAGCGUGGGGAGCAAACAGG